UACGUAGGUGGCAAGCGUUGUCCGGAAUUAUUGGGCGUAAAGCGCGCGCAGGCGGUUCGGUAAGUCUGAUGUGAAAGCCCACGGCUCAACCGUGGAGGGUCAUUGGAAACUGCUGAACUUGAGUGCAGAAGAGAAGAGUGGAAUUCCACGUGUAGCGGUGAAAUGCGUAGAGAUGUGGAGGAACACCAGUGGCGAAGGCGACUCUUUGGUCUGUAACUGACGCUGAGGCGCGAAAGCGUGGGGAGCAAACAGG
Molecule: ribosomal RNA, 253 nt
Filed under: uncultured bacterium
Lineage: Bacteria
Description: partial 16S ribosomal RNA
Rfam family: Bacterial small subunit ribosomal RNA
Source: RNAcentral